GACGAACGCUGGCGGCGUGCUUAACACAUGCAAGUCGAACGGUAAGGCCCUUCGGAGUACACGAGUGGCGAACGGGUGAGUAACACGUGGGUGAUCUGCCCUGCACUUCGGGAUAAGCCUGGGAAACUGGGUCUAAUACCGGAUAGGACCACUGCCUGCAUGGGUGGUGGUGGAAAGCUUUUGCGGUGUGGGAUGGGCCCGCGGCCUAUCAGCUUGUUGGGGGGGUGAUGGCCUACCAAGGCGACGACGGGUAGCCGGCCUGAGAGGGUGACCGGCCACACUGGGACUGAGAUACGGCCCAGACUCCUACGGGAGGCAGCAGUGGGGAAUAUUGCACAAUGGGCGCAAGCCUGAUGCAGCGACGCCGCGUGAGGGAUGACGGCCUUCGGGUUGUAAACCUCUUUCAGCACCGACGAAGCGCAAGUGACGGUAGGUGCAGAAGAAGGACCGGCCAACUACGUGCCAGCCGCCGCAGUAA
This 478-nucleotide ribosomal RNA is filed under the name uncultured bacterium. RNAcentral describes it as "partial 16S ribosomal RNA". It matches the Rfam family "Bacterial small subunit ribosomal RNA", at positions 28 to 523 of the family's 1533-position model. The record is from RNAcentral.